Molecule: ribosomal RNA, 579 nt
Filed under: Neofusicoccum parvum
Lineage: Eukaryota; Fungi; Ascomycota; Dothideomycetes; Botryosphaeriales; Botryosphaeriaceae
Description: eukaryotic LSU rRNA
Rfam family: 5.8S ribosomal RNA (bases 209-362)
Source: RNAcentral
UCCGUAGGUGAACCUGCGGAAGGAUCAUUACCGAGUUGAUUCGAGCUCCGGCUCGACUCUCCCACCCUAUGUGUACCUACCUCUGUUGCUUUGGCGGGCCGCGGUCCUCCGCACCGGCGCCCUUCGGGGGGCUGGCCAGCGCCCGCCAGAGGACCAUAAAACUCCAGUCAGUGAACUUCGCAGUCUGAAAAACAAGUUAAUAAACUAAAACUUUCAACAACGGAUCUCUUGGUUCUGGCAUCGAUGAAGAACGCAGCGAAAUGCGAUAAGUAAUGUGAAUUGCAGAAUUCAGUGAAUCAUCGAAUCUUUGAACGCACAUUGCGCCCCUUGGUAUUCCGAGGGGCAUGCCUGUUCGAGCGUCAUUUCAACCCUCAAGCUCUGCUUGGUAUUGGGCCCCGUCCUCCACGGACGCGCCUUAAAGACCUCGGCGGUGGCGUCUUGCCUCAAGCGUAGUAGAAAACACCUCGCUUUGGAGCGCACGGCGUCGCCCGCCGGACGAACCUUUGAAUUAUUUCUCAAGGUUGACCUCGGAUCAGGUAGGGAUACCCGCUGAACUUAAGCAUAUCAAUAAGCGGAGGA